GUAGAAGUUGAACUGUUUCCUCUGAAGUUCCUGCAGAUUUCGUGUGUGGAGUUGGAGUGUUCAUCUAAAAUGUAUAUAUAGCUAGGAACCCUAAUAAGAAAAGCAUAUAUUUGGUCCCUAGAGAAGGUCCCGAAAUCGUGUCAGCGUGAAAAGUCAGAACUAGGUUUUAGCAAAAUCCACACUAAAUCCAUAUGUUGCAUUUGCAUACAUGGGACACAAGAAUCUCGUAGGUGCUUCACAGGAAACAGUUCAAUGUUUGCUG
This 262-nucleotide microRNA precursor is filed under the name Brachypodium distachyon (stiff brome). RNAcentral describes it as "miR9483b stem-loop (bdi-MIR9483b)". The record is from miRBase by way of RNAcentral. Lineage: Eukaryota; Viridiplantae; Streptophyta; Magnoliopsida; Poales; Poaceae.